RNAcentral lists this ribosomal RNA (322 nucleotides) under uncultured Sandona. RNAcentral's name for it is "SSU rRNA". The stretch from base 62 to 322 matches the Rfam family "Eukaryotic small subunit ribosomal RNA", at positions 694 to 955 of the family's 1831-position model. The record is from RNAcentral. Lineage: Eukaryota; Cercozoa; Glissomonadida.
GAUUUCUGGCCUGAAACAUUUUGCCGGCCACGGUUUCGUGUGUUAGUGCUUGAUGUUCUGGCCAUCCUUCCAAUCGCUAUUGGCUUUUCUUCAUUGAGAGGUCAGUGGUAUUGGAUCUUUUACUUUGAAAAAAUUAGAGUGUUUCAAGCAGGCUUUAUGCUAUGAAUACAUUAGCAUGGAAUAAUAAUUUAGGACUUCGGUUCUAUUUUGUUGGUUUCUAGGACUGAAGUAAUGAUUGAUAGGGACAGUUGGGGGUGCUAGUAUUCAGCGGCCAGAGGUGAAAUUCUUGGAUUCGUUGAAGACUAACUUAUGCGAAAGCAUU